ACGCUCGACACCUACGGGGGGCAGCAGUAGGGAAUCUUCCACAAUGGGCGCAAGCCUGAUGGAGCAACACCGCGUGAGUGAAGAAGGGUUUCGGCUCGUAAAGCUCUGUUGUUGGAGAAGAACGUGCGUGAGAGUAACUGUUCACGCAGUGACGGUAUCCAACCAGAAAGUCACGGCUAACUACGUGUCAGCAGCCGCGGUAAUCUGAGCGGGCUGGCAAGGC
Molecule: ribosomal RNA, 223 nt
Filed under: uncultured bacterium
Lineage: Bacteria
Description: partial 16S ribosomal RNA
Rfam family: Bacterial small subunit ribosomal RNA
Source: RNAcentral